Long non-coding RNA from Chelonia mydas (Green sea turtle), 768 nucleotides. RefSeq lists it as uncharacterized. Lineage: Eukaryota; Metazoa; Chordata; Testudines; Cheloniidae. The transcript has 3 exons. The record is from RefSeq and is a predicted model, not a curated record.
CUUCACUACAGUUCUGAGUGAAGGCAGAAAAGGUACCAAGAUGACACUGGCACGCCAGUCUCCGUCGCAAGCCAUGCCGAGUACACCUACAUUUUGGGCAAAGAAGGAGCUAACUGAGUUUUCUGGGAAGACCUAUGAUGGUACUUUACAGCUAUGCAGAAAAGGCAAACUUCCUGCCAACAAGCCCCAUCCAAAUGAACAAGUAAACUACAAGGACAGUUGCCUGGCAGGUAAAUAAAAGUGGAGAUGUUUGGCUUUCAUACUUUUAGUUGUAUUUCAUUUACUGAAACUGAUUUAAUUAUUUAUUUUUAAAUAUUGAAAACUCUCACCCUGAGGUGAACAAACAGAGGAGAAAAAUUCCACCGAGACCGAGAAAUGAGAAGCUAAUGUGCUGUAACAUGGCUAUAAAUCUGCCACCAAAUAACACAGGAAUACUGAGGAGCUUGAUCCUGUAAAGCUCUGCCCUACAAGAGGAGUCUUGCUCAGGCAAGCAGGCGCAAUGCAGUCAAGCCAGAGCAGGUUAAUUCCAGUUUGCUAACUGUGCUGCAGUGAAGACAAGCCCUGAGAGGCCGAAGACUAAAGGGACUUAGAAGUGGGUCAGAUUUGCAAGGUAAUGCGUGGAGGCUUGUGUUGGGGCUGCUGGUGCUUUAUAUAUUCUUGGGAUAAAUGAGUAUUUUGGUGUCUGCAGCUGCUUUGGGCAACUUUCACCAGUGCUGAAAUUACUACUGUUCUCUUUGAAUUUCUUCUUUCCUAAGGAAAAUGCCUAAG